GACGAACGCUGGCGGCGUGCUUAACACAUGCAAGUCGAACGGAAAGGCCCUGCUUUUGUGGGGUGCUCGAGUGGCGAACGGGUGAGUAACACGUGAGUAACCUGCCCUUGACUUUGGGAUAACUUCAGGAAACUGGGGCUAAUACCGGAUAGGAGCUCCUGCUGCAUGGUGGGGGUUGGAAAGUUUCGGCGGUUGGGGAUGGACUCGCGGCUUAUCAGCUUGUUGGUGGGGUAGUGGCUUACCAAGGCUUUGACGGGUAGCCGGCCUGAGAGGGUGACCGGCCACAUUGCGACUGAGAGACGGACCAGACUCCUACGGGAGGCAGCAGUGGGGAAUAUGGCACAAUGGGCGGAAGCCUGAGGCAGCAACGCCGCGUGCGGGAUGACGGCCUUCGGGUUGUAAACCGCUUUCGCCUGUGACGAAGCGUGAGUGACGGUAAUGGGUAAAGAAGCACCGGCUAACUACGUG
RNAcentral lists this ribosomal RNA (468 nucleotides) under uncultured bacterium. Its description in RNAcentral is "partial 16S ribosomal RNA". It matches the Rfam family "Bacterial small subunit ribosomal RNA", at positions 28 to 507 of the family's 1533-position model. The record is from RNAcentral.